Molecule: long non-coding RNA, 372 nt
Organism: Hyaena hyaena (striped hyena)
Lineage: Eukaryota; Metazoa; Chordata; Mammalia; Carnivora; Hyaenidae
Exons: 2
Source: RefSeq, a predicted model, not a curated record
CAGAAGUGAGACUGGCACUCAAGACCUGUUGUUUCAUUGGGUCAUUAUCUGAUUAAGCUACACAGGAGAUGAUGCAAAGGAGCCAAGCACUCAGCCUAUCUCUAUACCCUCUAACAGAGAGAGAUUAUGAGUUGAAACACCUAUUGUGCCCACAUGGAGAAAUUCUGAACUUCUUAAACAACUGGCAAAUAAUGUGUACAGCUUGGACUUUCUUUGAAAACAGAAUGCUACAUUAAAGGACAACAAAUCUUCUGGCAAUAACUCAAAUUUAACAGGUUGCUGCAGCAAAUCUAUCUAAACAACCAGUGUGUGAUCCCACAAGAGUAUCAACAGUGCAUUGUCCUGAGAAUAAAAAUGCUUAUAUUAAAUCUG